RNAcentral lists this unclassified non-coding RNA (376 nucleotides) under uncultured Actinomycetes bacterium. RNAcentral describes it as "uncultured actinobacterium contains 16S-23S intergenic spacer region". Lineage: Bacteria; Bacillati; Actinomycetota; Actinomycetes. The record is from RNAcentral.
UCACUACUUGCGUAGGCAGUCUGGCUAGGGUCCCCACCACGACGUGCUGGUAACUAACCACAGGGGUUGCGCUCGUUGCGCCACUUAAGGCAACACCUCACGACACGAGCUGACGACAGCCAUGCACCACCUGUAUACCGACCACAAGGGGGGCCACAUCUCUGCAGCUUUCCGGUAUAUGUCAAACCCAGGUAAGGUUCUUCGCGUUGCAUCGAAUUAAUCCACAUGCUCCGCCGCUUGUGCGGGCCCCCGUCAAUUCCUUUGAGUUUUAGCCUUGCGGCCGUACUCCCCAGGCGGCGAACUUAAUGCGUUAGCUGCGGCACGGAGGGCAUGACACCCCCCACACCUAGCGCCCAACGUUUACGGUGUGGACUAC